Molecule: ribosomal RNA, 207 nt
Filed under: uncultured bacterium
Lineage: Bacteria
Description: partial 16S ribosomal RNA
Rfam family: Bacterial small subunit ribosomal RNA
Source: RNAcentral
CGUGUAGGCGGGCUGGAAAGUUAGGUGUGAAAUACUAUGGCUCAACCAUAGAGUGUCAUCUGAAACUACCAGUCUUGAGUGCGGAAGAGGGUGGUAGAAUUCCCGGUGUAGCGGUGAAAUGCGUAGAUAUCGGGAGGAAUACCGGAGGCGAAGGCGGCCACCUGGUCCGAUACUGACGCUGAGGCGCGAAAGCGUGGGCAGCAAACA